This 70-nucleotide ribosomal RNA is filed under the name Bacillus cereus. RNAcentral's name for it is "partial 16S ribosomal RNA". It matches the Rfam family "Bacterial small subunit ribosomal RNA", at positions 1 to 68 of the family's 1533-position model. Lineage: Bacteria; Bacillati; Bacillota; Bacilli; Caryophanales; Bacillaceae. RNAcentral also lists the same sequence under 6 other names. The record is from RNAcentral.
CUUUAUUGGAGAGUUUGAUCCUGGCUCAGGAUGAACGCUGGCGGCGUGCCUAAUACAUGCAAGUCGAGCG